Molecule: long non-coding RNA, 1048 nt
Organism: Astatotilapia calliptera (eastern happy)
Lineage: Eukaryota; Metazoa; Chordata; Actinopteri; Cichliformes; Cichlidae
Source: Ensembl
CUUUAAAAUAUAUAAUUAAAUACAUAGAAACUUCACCUGAGACACUCUGACAACAUCGCUGCAUUCAGCCAAAUGAGCAGCACUAAUAGCUUACUCCAACAGAGGGGCUGUUACAUAAAUGUGAACUUUUUGUAAAAGCUACAAAGGCCACAUAAAAGGUCGGCUUAUGAUGUCCUCUCUAGACAGAUCCCCCUCCCCCCAGGUAGUUGAAUGCUUGAAAACGGUGGUCUCACUUCAACACACAAAAAUGGCCAGUCUCUCAAGAACUGACAUUUCUGUGUUUUCGCUGCAGUAUAUGCUCUCUUUUAAUCUGACCAUAAUGAAAAUGUAUACAACUAAAAAACAAACAAAUUAAAAAACAACAACUCAUUAAGAAUGCUUUCUAUUGUAGCUUUGCAUUAGCAAAAGAAGAAGAAGAGGAAUAUUGAACUAUAACAAGGAUAUGUAUGUUAUAAUCUGCCACAUGUAUCGCUCAUGCUAAACUUGUAUUGGGUUGAAAUGGCUGUAAAACUGUGUAACACUUCCAUCUAGUGGGGUGCUGUGAUAGCACAAAAAUACAGAUCAACAAAACCAAAAAUUACAUUGAUGAAAAAAAAAAAGAAAAAACAUAUAAUUUAAUUAAUAGUCCAGGGUUUAUGUGAGACAAUGCUCAGAUAGGAGGGGUUAGUCUGUUUUUAAAGGACUACCACCUCAAGGCUUACAGCUCCACAGCCGAGAAAGCGGUGUUAGAUGCACCAAUGAACUUAUUGUCUGCUUCACUCCCCUCGUUAUGAAUUUAUGCUGAGCACACCAAGCAGGGUGAUUCCCCUCAGGCUAUAAUAUUAUACUGCAUGCUCUCAGAAAUACAGGAGAAUAAGUGAAAGUGCUCUUACUCUGCCACAUUUCACAGUAGUGUGCCGCCUGAAAUUAUGAACCAGAUUUUUAUAAACGUGAAAUUAUGUCCAUAAAAAUAAUCUGCAGUGUAUUUUUAUGCUAACUAUAUUUACUGCAGUACUAUUGUUCAGUUACAGAUUUGUGGUACAUGUACUGCAUUUAGGUCUGCUUCUUC